RNAcentral lists this long non-coding RNA (403 nucleotides) under Homo sapiens (human). RNAcentral describes it as "non-protein coding lnc-RAB40B-1:4". Lineage: Eukaryota; Metazoa; Chordata; Mammalia; Primates; Hominidae. The record is from RNAcentral.
GUCUUUUAUGGACCAAAUGUUUGUGUGCCCCCAGAUUAAUCCACUGGAACUCUACCUGCAAAGUGAUAGUCUUUGAAGAUGGGGACUUUGGGCUCCCGUCUUUGGACUCUGCAGCUGCAGACCAGUCCUGCAUCCUCACUGUCCCCGAUCCACACCUGCAGGGCCAGAUGGCCCAUGGCAACGAGAAUGACGGAGCCACUUCUUCCAGGGUUCCACCGACUCAAGACCAGCUCAGACCCAUCCCCAUGCACAGCGCGCCCUGCCUGGCUCCGAGGGGUGGGAGGUGGUUCAUUAAGAGGCUGCACGGUGGUGCUGGAGUGGCAUGGAGUAUUCCAGAAACACAUCGUCUGGUGUCCUCAGCAAAACAGCUGAGAAGAGCAGACGUGGGCUGUGCCCUCACAUG